This 517-nucleotide long non-coding RNA is filed under the name Oryctolagus cuniculus (rabbit). Its description in RNAcentral is "lncRNA (ENSOCUG00000033895.1)". The record is from RNAcentral. Lineage: Eukaryota; Metazoa; Chordata; Mammalia; Lagomorpha; Leporidae.
AGGGGCCUCAGGGCCCUGCGGGAAGCACAGAUGGGAGCUUGCCUGACUGUCUCCCCAUCGGCCUGGACCCCGGAGCCUGCCCAGCUGAGCGUGUGCAGAGGGCCCCGGGUGAGGGGCGCCGCUUGGGCCGCCGUGGAGACCAUCCUGGAGAUGCUGGUGGAGGCAGGCCUGUCCUGCUGAGCCGGGCCUGUUGGCACAGCCUGCUCAGAGCUCUCCAGUGUGACAGCCCAGGCGGCAGAGCCGAGGGUCCUGGUCCCGGCUUCUCGCACCCUCAUGUCAGCCCCGGCCCCGCCCGGCGGCCCGCGGAGGACAAGGUCAGGAUGCGUGUGAAGCCUCAGGGCCUGGUGGUGACUUCCAGUGCCGUGUGCAGCUCUCCUGACUACCUCUGGGAGCCCAAGUCAACCCCCGGGCGGCCCCCCCCACCUCGCGGGCCUUUCUGCUUGUUGCAAAUGCCGAUUCUCCUUCUGAUCCCGGCCUGUUAAUGGGAUUGCAGGUUGUUAUCCUGUUCAUGAUGACU